AGCUUUGCAUAGUGGCAGUAUCGUAGCCAAUGAAGUUUAUCCAAGGCAUGAUGAUUGCUAAUUAAAACAAUGUUGAAAUUAGAAGAUAAAGAUUUUAAAGGAACUACUAUAACUACAUUCAAGUG
This is a small nuclear RNA of Equus asinus (donkey), 125 nucleotides long. Its record names the gene U4. It matches the Rfam family "U4 spliceosomal RNA". From Rfam's summary of the family: U4 small nuclear RNA (U4 snRNA) is a component of the major U2-dependent spliceosome. The structure of U4 snRNA from yeast and human has been reported. U4 snRNA presents a k-turn RNA motif in the 5p-SL related to recognition of Snu13 protein. The record is from Ensembl. Lineage: Eukaryota; Metazoa; Chordata; Mammalia; Perissodactyla; Equidae.